CCUACGGGAGGCAGCAGUAGGGAAUAUUGCUCAAUGGGGGAAACCCUGAAGCAGCAACGCCGCGUGGAGGAUGAAGGUUUUAGGAUUGUAAACUCCUUUUUUUAGAGAAGAUAAUGACGGUAUCUCACGAAUAAGCACCGGGUAACUGCGGGCCACAAGCCGCGGGAAUACGGAGGGUGCAAGCGUUACUCGGAAUCACUGGGCGUAAAGAGUGCGUAGGCGGGAUUGUAAGUCAGAUGUGAAAUCCUCUAGCUUAACUACAGAACUGCAUUUGAAACUGUGAUUCUAGAGUGUGGGAGAGGUAGGUGGAAUGCGUGGUGUAGGGGUAAAAUCCGUAGAUAUCAAGAGGAAUACUCAUUGCGAAGGCGACCUACUGGAACAUUACUGACGCUCAUGCACGAAAGCGUGGGGAGCAAACAGGAUUAGAUACCCGAGUAGUC
Molecule: ribosomal RNA, 440 nt
Filed under: uncultured bacterium
Lineage: Bacteria
Description: partial 16S ribosomal RNA
Rfam family: Bacterial small subunit ribosomal RNA
Source: RNAcentral